This 253-nucleotide ribosomal RNA is filed under the name uncultured bacterium. Its description in RNAcentral is "partial 16S ribosomal RNA". It matches the Rfam family "Bacterial small subunit ribosomal RNA", at positions 524 to 776 of the family's 1533-position model. The record is from RNAcentral.
UACGUAGGGGGCUAGCGUUGUCCGGAAUCAUUGGGCGUAAAGAGCGUGUAGGCGGCCCGGUAAGUCCGCUGUGAAAGUCAGGGGCUCAACCCUCGGAUGCCGGUGGAUACUGUCGGGCUCGAGUACGGAAGAGGCGAGUGGAAUUCCUGGUGUAGCGGUGAAAUGCGCAGAUAUCAGGAGGAACACCUAUUGCGAAGGCAGCUCGCUGGGACGUUACUGACGCUGAGACGCGAAAGCGUGGGGAGCAAACAGG